AUGACACCUCUCACUGGCCGCUCAGCUUCCUUCGGCCCUCUGUGCCUCGGUUUCCCCACCUGUGGGACGUGUGUCCAGGGCGCAUCUGGAGGGACUCGGUGCCUCGGUUUCCCCACCUGCGCGACGUGUGUCCGGGGUGUGUCUGGAGGGACUCUGUGCCUCAGUUUCCCCACCUUGGGACGUGUCUCCAGGGCGGGUCUACAGGGACUCUGUGCCUCGGUUUCCCCACGUGUGGGACGUGUGUCCGGGGCGCGUCUGGAGGGACUCUGUGCCUCGGUUUCCCCACGUGUGGGACGUGUGUCCGGGGCGCGUCUGGAGGGACUCUGUGCCUCGGUUUCCCCACCUGCAGCGCGUGUGUCCGGGGCACGUCUGGAGGGACUCUGUGCCUCGGUUUCCCCACCUGCGGGACGUGUGUCCGGGGCGCGUCUGGAGGGACUCUGUGCCUCGGUUUCCCCACCUGCGGGGCGUGUGUCCGGGGCACGUCUGGAGGGACUGUGCCUCGGUUUCCCCACCUGCGGGGCGUGUGUCCAGGGCGCAUCUGGAGGGACUCUGUGCCUCAGUUUCCCCACGUGUGGGACCUGUGUCCAGGGAGCGUCCGGAGGGACUCUGUGCCUCGGUUUCCCCACGUGUGGGACGUGUGUCUGGGGCACGUCUGGAGGGACUCUGUGCCUCGGUUUCCCCACCUGCGGGGCGUGUGUCCAGGGCGCAUCUGGAGGGACUCUGUGCCUCAGUUUCCCCACCUGUGGGACCUGUGUCCAGGGAGCGUCCAGAGGGACUCUGUGCCUCAGUUUCCCCACGUGUGGGACGUGUGUCCGGGGCGUGUCUGGAGGGUCUCUGUGCCUCGGUUUCCCCACGUGUGGGACGUGUGUCCGGGGCGCGUCUGGAGGGACUCUGUGCCUCGGUUUCCCCACGUGUGGGACGUGUGUCCAGGGCGUGUCUGGAGGGUCUCUGUGCCUCGGUUUCCCCACCUGUGGGACCUGUGUCCAGGGCGGGUCCACAGGGACUCUGUGCCUCGGUUUCCCCACCUGCGGGGCAUGUGUCCGGGGCGCGUCUGGAGGGACUCUGUGCCUCGGUUUCCCCACGUGUGGGACCUGUGUCCGGGGCGCGUCUGGAGGGACUCUGUGCCUCAGUUUCCCCACCUGCGGGACGUGUGUCCGGGGCGCGUCUGGAGGGACUCUGUGCCUCGGUUUCCCCACCUGCGGGGCGUGUGUCCGGGGCGCGUCUGGAGGGACUCCGUGCCUCGGUUUCCCCACCUUGGGACGUGGUCUCUCUCAGAGAAAGCGUUUGCAGACGUGUAGUGUGACGCAUGCUCAGGGUGGGCAGACGCCCUCUUCGGGCUCCCUGGCACUCGGCUCAUGCCUCCCCCGUCACCCCCGGGACACGGGCCAGGAAGAAAGCUGUCUGCGGCCUCGGAAAAGAAGGAAAUGA
RNAcentral lists this long non-coding RNA (1428 nucleotides) under Felis catus (domestic cat). RNAcentral describes it as "lncRNA (ENSFCAG00000053006.1)". The record is from RNAcentral. Lineage: Eukaryota; Metazoa; Chordata; Mammalia; Carnivora; Felidae.